Molecule: small nuclear RNA, 306 nt
Filed under: Anolis carolinensis (green anole)
Lineage: Eukaryota; Metazoa; Chordata; Lepidosauria; Squamata; Anolidae
Description: 7SK RNA
Rfam family: 7SK RNA
About the family: 7SK was discovered as an abundant small nuclear RNA in the mid-70s but a possible function has only recently been suggested. Two independent studies have found that 7SK RNA binds the CDK9/cyclin T complex (known as elongation factor P-TEFb).
Source: Rfam by way of RNAcentral
GGAUGUGAGGGUGAUCUGGCUGUGACAUCUGUCACCCCAUUGAUCGCCAGGGUUGAUUCGGCUGAUCUGGCUGGCUGGGCGGGUGUCCCCUUCCCCCCGCACCGCUCCAUGUGCAUCUCUCCCGAAGCUGCGCACUCGGUGGAAGAGGACGAUGUCCCAGAUAUAGAAGGAGUGUACCGAAGUCUCCAGUCUUUGGUCCCGGGUAUACGAUAGCGUCAUUGGUUGUAACUAAGUAGUGUCCCCCAGCCCAGUCCCUGCAAUUCUCACAUACUAGGCAGCUGCUACUGUAAGUGACAGAUGUUUGUU